This 253-nucleotide ribosomal RNA is filed under the name uncultured bacterium. RNAcentral's name for it is "partial 16S ribosomal RNA". It matches the Rfam family "Bacterial small subunit ribosomal RNA", at positions 524 to 776 of the family's 1533-position model. The record is from RNAcentral.
UACAGAGGGUGCGAGCGUUAAUCGGAAUUACUGGGCGUAAAGCGUGCGUAGACGGCUAUCUAAGUCGGGUGUGAAAGCCCCGGGCUCAACCUGGGAAUUGCAUUCGAGACUGAAUAGCUAGGGUGCGGUAGAGGGAAGCGGAAUUUCCGGUGUAGCGGUGAAAUGCGUAGAUAUCCGAAGGAACAUCAGUGGCGAAAGCGGCUUCCUGGACCAGAACUGACGAUCAGGCACGAAAGCGUGGGGAGCAAACAGG